CAGUCGCCACGGUAAUACGUAGGGUGCAAGCGUUAAUCGGAAUUACUGGGCGUAAAGCGUGCGCAGGCGGUUAUAUAAGACAGAUGUGAAAUCCCCGGGCUCAACCUGGGAACUGCAUUUGUGACUGUAUAGCUAGAGUACGGCAGAGGGGGAUGGAAUUCCGCGUGUAGCAGUGAAAUGCGUAGAUAUGCGGAGGAACACCGAUGGCGAAGGCAAUCCCCUGGGCCUGUACUGACGCUCAUGCACGAAAGCGUGGGGAGCAAACAGGAUUAGAGACCCCUGUAGUCCCUGUCUCUUAUAA
Molecule: ribosomal RNA, 301 nt
Filed under: uncultured bacterium
Lineage: Bacteria
Description: partial 16S ribosomal RNA
Rfam family: Bacterial small subunit ribosomal RNA
Source: RNAcentral